GCAGUACGUAACUGUCCAAUCAGUGACAAAAUAAAACACUGAACAUAAUACUUAGAAGUUGUGGAUAUAGAAUUAUCUGCUUCCCUGAAUUUCAUAUGUGGUUUGACUACGAACAAAUAAUACCUAGUAUUAAAAAUGGUGUCUUUCACCCAGCCCGAGUGACGUAGCACUUUUAGCUCUAUAACUAAGGCAACGCAUUUACCUAUUUUGUAGCACAGCAGGUGUGCCGUUUGUCAAAGUUCCUGUUUGUCCCCGCAAUUUGCGCCCCAUGAAGGAGUUCUUUAAAAAAAGACAACAAGGGCAUGUGAUCUUGGCCAGUUCCAGGCUGCUACGUAGAAUGCACUUGUCUAGAAACCAGUUAAGCUGUGUUUUUGUUCAGUAUAUCGGCAACAGAUGGCUGUCUUGUGUGUUUUCUGUCCUGUUUGUUUCUUAAGGCAUCACCCAUCUCAGGGCUGCUAAAACCGUGGCGGGACCCUGGGGCAGGGGGUGGGGGGAAGCAGGGGCGAGGAGGGUGACCUUCUAAGUGCCGGGCCGCCAUUGUUGCCACAGGUUAGCUGGGACUUUACAGGUGGUUGUAGUUUUAGUGGGUUGGAGUGUAAAGUUUUGACUCAGAAGGCUUGAGACCUAAAGGUCCUCUUAUUUUCAGGUGACAGUACUCUGUCACGAAUCCGCAGCAUCACGCAUACCUGGCUUUGGUGAAAGAGCUUUGCACAUACUGUCCAUUUUACUGUAUCUUUUGACUUCGCUGAAGCAUAGGACUUACCAACCAGUUGGUUCUCUGUGCAUCCUGCUACCGAUGUGUGGCUUCCAAAUGACCUGACGCUAUUUGACUAAUUCCACGUUAUAGUAAGUUUUUACAGCAGUGCUCGUGCCUCAACGGACUCUCAUGGGCCAUAAUUUGGCCACCAGGCAAAGCAGUUGCUAAUUACGCGUUUCUCCAGAUUUCCCAUCACCAACCAAUAGCUCUUGGCCUCGAGAAAACAUCAGUGACUUCACAGGAUUAUCUAGUUGUUGACCGACAGCAACCGAUGUUCACGUUUAGUAUUUUCACCGACAGGGUUUGUUCUGUCACUUUUGUGUUUGUUCUAACGAUACGAGGCAACUCACCAACUACAUAAAUCAGUCUCCCCAGAUUCCUCACACCCCUACCCUUGGUCCCUUUCUCUUUCUCAAAUUUGAACUAAGAGCACAGUGCUCACAAUCAGGUGGUGAUGGACAGAGGAGAUUGGGGACAAGGGCACUAUUAGCAAUGGCCUAAUGUGUAAGCACAGGGAGAGAAAACUGGAAGGAGCCAGAGAUCGAGAAUCUGAAACUGGAGCAAAUAAGACUGACCUCAAUCGAUGGCCGCUUUUACGUUCUCAAAUGAUACAAAAAUGAUUGAUUUCCUUUGGCGAAAGUUAUUCCAGUUAGCUUGAGUAGAUUUUUGUUUCUUGCAACUGAAAGAACCUUAAUCAGAAGAGUUGGUAGCUUGAGUCUGUUCAAAGUGAUUAUGUUUUUAGUACUUAUUUAUUUUGAGACAGAGGGAAAGAGAGAGAAUGCCAACAGACUUCAUAACUGUCGGCAUAGAUCUCGACACGGGGCUCAAACUCCUGAAUCAUGAGAUCGUGACCUGAGCCAAAAUCAAGAGUCAGAUGCCCAACUGACUGAGCCACCCAGACAUCCCUGUUAAAACGUAUUUUUAAAUGCAUUUAGCACAUAAAAAUUUGUCCCUUUCAGUAA
Panthera uncia (snow leopard) is the source of this 1719-nucleotide long non-coding RNA. RefSeq lists it as uncharacterized. The transcript is spliced from 2 exons. The record is from RefSeq and is a predicted model, not a curated record. Lineage: Eukaryota; Metazoa; Chordata; Mammalia; Carnivora; Felidae.